GACGAACGCUGGCGGCGUGCUUAACACAUGCAAGUCGAACGGAAAGGCCCCCACCUUGGUGGGGGUGCUCGAGUGGCGAACGGGUGAGUAACACGUGGGUGAUCUGCCCUGUACUUCGGGAUAAGCUUGGGAAACUGGGUCUAAUACCGGAUAGGACCAUGGUUUAGUGUCUCAUGGUGGAAAAAUUAUUGUUUUGGUGCAGGAUGAGCUCGCGGCCUAUCAGCUUGUUGGUGGGGUAAUGGCCUACCAAGGCGUCGACGGGUAGCCGGCCUGAGAGGGUGGACGGCCACAUUGGGACUGAGAUACGGCCCAGACGCCUACGGGAGGCAGCAGUGGGGAAUAUUGCACAAUGGGCGCAAGCCUGAUGCAGCGACGCCGCGUGGGGGAUGACGGCCUUCGGGUUGUAAACUCCUUUCGUUAGGGACGAAGCCACACCUUUUUUGGGUGUGGUGACGGUACCUUUGUGAAGAAGCACCGGCUAACUACGUG
Molecule: ribosomal RNA, 489 nt
Filed under: uncultured bacterium
Lineage: Bacteria
Description: partial 16S ribosomal RNA
Rfam family: Bacterial small subunit ribosomal RNA
Source: RNAcentral